GCUGUAGACUAACUGGUUAGGUCGGCUCCACGAAAUGGAGGAGAUGCGGGUUCGAAUCCUGCCGGCG
RNAcentral lists this transfer RNA (67 nucleotides) under Acanthoscelides obtectus. RNAcentral describes it as "hypothetical protein". It matches the Rfam family "tRNA". Rfam says of the family: Transfer RNA (tRNA) molecules are approximately 80 nucleotides in length. Their secondary structure includes four short double-helical elements and three loops (D, anti-codon, and T loops). Lineage: Eukaryota; Metazoa; Arthropoda; Insecta; Coleoptera; Chrysomelidae. The record is from RNAcentral.